RNAcentral lists this ribosomal RNA (433 nucleotides) under uncultured bacterium. Its description in RNAcentral is "bacterial SSU rRNA". It matches the Rfam family "Bacterial small subunit ribosomal RNA", at positions 29 to 509 of the family's 1533-position model. The record is from RNAcentral.
AACGAACGCUGGCGGCAUGCCUAACACAUGCAAGUCGAACGAGACCUUCGGGUCUAGUGGCGCACGGGUGCGUAACGCGUGGGAAUCUACCCUUGGGUUCGGAAUAACUCAGAGAAAUUUGAGCUAAUACCGGAUGAUGUCGCAAGACCAAAGAUUUAUCGCCCAAGGAUGAGCCCGCGUAGGAUUAGCUUGUUGGUGAGGUAAAAGCUCACCAAGGCGACGAUCCUUAGCUGGUCUGAGAGGAUGAUCAGCCACACUGGGACUGAGACACGGCCCAGACUCCUACGGGAGGCAGCAGUGGGGAAUAUUGGACAAUGGGCGAAAGCCUGAUCCAGCAAUGCCGCGUGAGUGAUGAAGGCCUUAGGUUGUAAAGCUCUUUACCCGGGAUGAUAAUGACAGUACCGGGAGAAGUAAGCCCGGCUAACUCCGUGCC